This 576-nucleotide ribosomal RNA is filed under the name uncultured bacterium. Its description in RNAcentral is "bacterial SSU rRNA". It matches the Rfam family "Bacterial small subunit ribosomal RNA", at positions 102 to 674 of the family's 1533-position model. The record is from RNAcentral.
ACGGGUGAGUAAUACAUCGGAACGUAUCCUGGAGUGGGGGAUAGCCCGGCGAAAGCCGGAUUAAUACCGCAUACGCUCUGAGGAGGAAAGCGGGGGACCUUCGGGCCUCGCGCUCAAGGGGCGGCCGAUGGCGGAUUAGGUAGUUGGUGGGGUAAAGGCCUACCAAGCCGACGAUCCGUAGCUGGUCUGAGAGGACGACCAGCCACACUGGGACUGAGACACGGCCCAGACUCCUACGGGAGGCAGCAGUGGGGAAUUUUGGACAAUGGGGGCAACCCUGAUCCAGCAAUGCCGCGUGUGUGAAGAAGGCCUUCGGGUUGUAAAGCACUUUUGUCCGGAAAGAAAUCAUCGGGGCCAAUACCCCUGGUGGAUGACGGUACCGGAAGAAUAAGCACCGGCUAACUACGUGCCAGCAGCCGCGGUAAUACGUAGGGUGCGAGCGUUAAUCGGAAUUACUGGGCGUAAAGCGUGCGCAGGCGGUGCUGUAAGACCGAUGUGAAAUCCCCGGGCUUAACCUGGGAACUGCAUCGGUGACUGCAGCGCUGGAGUAUGGCAGAGGGGGGUGGAAUUCCACGU